UAGGGAAUCUUCCACAAUGGGUGCAAACCUGAUGGAGCAACGCCGCGUGAGUGAAGAAGGUCUUCGGAUCGUAAAGCUCUGUUGUUAGAGAAGAACACGUGCUAAGUAACUACUAGCGCCUUGACGGUAUCUAACCAGAAAGUCACGGCUAACUACGUGCCAGCAGCCGCGGUAAUACGUAGGUGACAAGCGUUGUCCGGAUUUAUUGGGCGUAAAGGGAGCGCAGGCGGUCUGUUUAGUCUAAUGUGAAAGCCCACGGCUUAACCGUGGAACGGCAUUGGAAACUGACAGACUUGAAUGUAGAAGAGGAAAAUGGAAUUCCAAGUGUAGCGGUGGAAUGCGUAGAUAUUUGGAGGAACACCAGUGGCGAAGGCGAUUUUCUGGUCUAACAUUGACGCUGAGGCUCGAAAGCGUGGGGAGCGAACAGGAUUAGAUACCCUGGUAGUCCACGCCGUAAACGAUGAGUGCUAAGUGUUGGGGGCUUUCCGGCCCUCGGUGCUGGAGCUAACGUAUUAAGCACUCCGCCUGGGGAUUACGACCGCAAGGUUG
This 549-nucleotide ribosomal RNA is filed under the name uncultured bacterium. RNAcentral's name for it is "bacterial SSU rRNA". It matches the Rfam family "Bacterial small subunit ribosomal RNA", at positions 355 to 896 of the family's 1533-position model. The record is from RNAcentral.